UGGGAGGCUGAUACACAAAUGGGGCUGAAGUACUGCUCCGAUUGUCACCAUCCCUCCCUAGAAUAAACUGCCUUUCGAUGACCGGGACGAAUUGAGGGAAAUCGUAACGGACAGAUACGGGGCAGACAGUU
Molecule: non-coding RNA, 131 nt
Organism: Ailuropoda melanoleuca (giant panda)
Lineage: Eukaryota; Metazoa; Chordata; Mammalia; Carnivora; Ursidae
Product: small Cajal body-specific RNA 8
Source: Ensembl